Molecule: ribosomal RNA, 497 nt
Filed under: uncultured bacterium
Lineage: Bacteria
Description: partial 16S ribosomal RNA
Rfam family: Bacterial small subunit ribosomal RNA
Source: RNAcentral
GAUGAACGCUGGCGGCGUGCCUAAUACAUGCAAGUCGAGCGAACGGACGAGAAGCUUGCUUCUCUGAUGUUAGCGGCGGACGGGUGAGUAACACGUGGAUAACCUACCUAUAAGACUGGGAUAACUUCGGGAAACCGGAGCUAAUACCGGAUAAUAUUUUGAACCUCAUGGUUCAAAAGUUAAAGACGGUCUUGCUGUCACUUAUAGAUGGAUCCGCGCUGCAUUAGCUAGUUGGUAAGGUAACGGCUUACCAAGGCAACGAUGCAUAGCCGACCUGAUAGGGUGAUCGGCCACACUGGAACUGAGACACGGACCAGACUCCUACGGGAGGCAGCAGUAGGGAAUAUUGCGCAAUGGGCGAAAGCCUGACGGAGCAAAGCCGCGUGAGUGAUGAAGGUCUUCGGAUCGUAAAACUCUGUUAUUAGGGAAGAACAAAUGUGUAAGUAACUGUGCACAUCUUGACGGUACCUAAUCAGAAAGCCACGGCUAACUACGUG